This 702-nucleotide ribosomal RNA is filed under the name uncultured bacterium. RNAcentral's name for it is "bacterial SSU rRNA". It matches the Rfam family "Bacterial small subunit ribosomal RNA", at positions 1 to 721 of the family's 1533-position model. The record is from RNAcentral.
AAUUCGAUUGAGUUUGAUCAUGGCUCAGGACAAACGCUGGCGGCGUACCUAAGACAUGCAAGUCUAACGGGGGAUGGACCCUUCGGGGACCAUCUCGAGUGGCGAACGGGUGAGUAACACGUAGGAACCUGACGUUUGGUGGGGGAUAACGCUGGGAAACCGGCGCUAAUACCGCAUGAGGUCCUCUGCAAAGGGGAGCAAAGCAGCAAUGCGCCAGAUGAGGGGCCUGUGGCCGAUUAGCUAGUUGGUGAGGUAAAGGCCCACCAAGGCGACGAUCGGUAGCUGGUCUGAGAGGAUGGUCAGCCACACUGGGACUGAGACACGGCCCAGACUCCUACGGGAGGCAGCAGUUAGGAAAUUUUCGCAAUGGGGGAAACCCUGACGGAGUAACGCCGCGUGGAGGAUGACGGCUUUCGGGUUGUAAACUCCUUUUCUGUGGGAAGAGUAGAAGACGGUACCGCAGGAAGAAGCCUCGGCUAACUACGUGCCAGCAGCCGCGGUAAUACGUAGGAGGCGAGCGUUGUCCGGAAUUACUGGGCGUAAAGAGCGCGUAGGCGGCACUGUACGACCGGUGUGAAAGCCCCCGGCUUAACUGGGGAGGGUCACCGGUAACGGCAGAGCUAUGAGUACAGGAGAGGGAAGUGGAACUCCGGGAGUAGCGGUGAAAUGCGUAGAUACCCGGAGGAACACCAGUGGCGAAGG